RNAcentral lists this ribosomal RNA (433 nucleotides) under uncultured bacterium. RNAcentral describes it as "partial 16S ribosomal RNA". It matches the Rfam family "Bacterial small subunit ribosomal RNA", at positions 29 to 507 of the family's 1533-position model. The record is from RNAcentral.
AACGAACGCUGGCGGCAUGCCUAACACAUGCAAGUCGAACGAGACCUUCGGGUCUAGUGGCGCACGGUUGCGUAACGCGUGGGAACCUGCCCUUAGGUUCGGAAUAACUCCCCGAAAGGGGUGCUAAUACCGGAUAAUGUCUUCGGACCAAAGAUUUAUCGCAUUUGGAUGGGCCCGCGUUGGAUUAGCUAGUUGGUAGGGUAAAAGCCUACCAAGGCGACGAUCCAUAGCUGGUCUGAGAGGAUGAUCAGGCACACUGGGACUGAGACACGGCCCAGACUCCUACGGGAGGCAGCGGUGGGGAAUAUUGGCCAAGGGGCGAAAGCCUGAUCCAGCAAUGCCGCGUGAGUGAUGACGGCCUUAGGGUUGUAAAGCUCUUUUAGCCGGGAUGAUAAUGACAGUACCGGGAGAAUAAGCGCCGGCUAACUCCGUG